Molecule: long non-coding RNA, 311 nt
Filed under: Panax ginseng (ginseng)
Lineage: Eukaryota; Viridiplantae; Streptophyta; Magnoliopsida; Apiales; Araliaceae
Description: long non-coding RNA (PGIN_LNC000464)
Source: RNAcentral
UCAUUAUAUAUUCUUGUGUUUGUCCAGAUGGAAGGCAAAAUGAAUUUUGCAGUGAAGUUGAUGAUGGUGCUAAUAAUAAUGGCUUUUAUGGUUUCCAUUGGAAGUGCUCGAUUUCAUUUUCCUCCAGAUUGCUGCCCUAUGGUCCCUGCAUGCUGCGUCCGCAAAUUUGUCCCCAAAAUCACAAAAUCCUAAACUCUCUUAUUCCAAAAUAAUUGCAGGGCACUAAUCUCAUUAGUUCUCCUGUAGUAAUCUUUGUAAUGGCUAAAUAAGUGAAGGGGACUAAUGUUGUUAGUUCUUCUGCUUUAUGAUAA